This 456-nucleotide ribosomal RNA is filed under the name Dendropsophus aff. minutus. RNAcentral's name for it is "partial 16S ribosomal RNA". It matches the Rfam family "Bacterial large subunit ribosomal RNA", at positions 1819 to 2484 of the family's 2925-position model. Lineage: Eukaryota; Metazoa; Chordata; Amphibia; Anura; Hylidae. The record is from RNAcentral.
CGCCUCUUGAAACUACAUAAGAGGUCCAGCCUGCCCAGUGACUAAGUUCAACGGCCGCGGUAUCCUAACCGUGCGAAGGUAGCGUAAUCACUUGUUCUUUAAAUGAGGACUAGUAUGAAUGGCACCACGAGGGUUAUGCUGUCUCCUUUUUCUAAUCAAUGAAACUGAUCUCCCCGUGAAGAAGCGGGGAUAUAUCUAUAAGACGAGAAGACCCUAUGGAGCUUUAAAUCAUGUAACACUGGCUUUCACAUUAAAAUAUUCCAGAAUUUUCAUAAUUACUCUAGCCACUAUGAUUACUAGUUUUAGGUUGGGGUGACCACGGAGCAAAAAUUAACCUCCAUGUUGAACGGAGCUACUCCUGAGCCAAAAGCCACGACUUUAAGCACUAAUAAAUUAACAUUAAUUGACCCAAUAUUUUUGAUCAACGAACCAAGUUACCCUAGGGAUAACAGCGCA